Molecule: long non-coding RNA, 406 nt
Filed under: Homo sapiens (human)
Lineage: Eukaryota; Metazoa; Chordata; Mammalia; Primates; Hominidae
Description: HSALNT0401888
Source: RNAcentral
CUUGAGCUGGGCAAUCCUCAUAGAAGGUCGGGGACGACCUGCCCUUCAGUGUUCCUGGAGCAUCUUCUCCAAAGUGGAGGUCGAGCCAGGCCUAGGAGGAAAGAGAGGGCAACUGCGGACGACCCCACCGCAGAAGAGGUGAAACCGACGGGCUCCAGGGCUUUUUCACUCAUUCCCUAGGCAUGUGGGACCUCGAAGAUGCCGAAUCAGCUAAACGGGAGGUGGCUUGAGUAGGAUUUGCUGCCAGCUAAAGCGUGAGAUGCUAUUGCAUGUGCAAGGCAAGGCUUUCUUCAGCGGCAUCAUCUUCCAAAAUAGCCCAGUGAGCAUGCCUUUCUCCUGAAAAAUAAAAAAUAGUUGGUGUUUACUGCAAUCGUAUGGCAAAUACUGUGUUGAGAGAUUAAUUUAC